AUCCAGCUGACGAGUCUUAAAUAAGACGAAACUUACGUCCUGGAU
This 45-nucleotide non-coding RNA is filed under the name Schistosoma mattheei. The record is from RNAcentral. Lineage: Eukaryota; Metazoa; Platyhelminthes; Trematoda; Strigeidida; Schistosomatidae.